Non-coding RNA from Sturnus vulgaris (Common starling), 702 nucleotides. The record is from RefSeq and is a predicted model, not a curated record. NCBI's taxonomy places the organism in Eukaryota, Metazoa, Chordata, Aves, Passeriformes, Sturnidae.
UCAAUCAGCUUCUGGCAACUACUAAAUGUGAGAUUUUAUGUACAAAGUCUCUAAAGGGUCUUCAAUUUCUUUUAGGAGACUCCUGUUAAAAAAAAAAAGUAAUCUGUAUUAUUCAGCAAUGAUCAAAUAUCAUGGUUGCCAACCAUGAACACUUCCAUUAAAAUUAAAUUUGCCAGAUUUGCAAUAAUUUUGGAGUUACCUAAUAAUUACUAAAUGAGUCCUGAUUUCCCUAUUAUUUAGAGUUUAUAUAGGUUUGUUUUGCAAGGUCUACUGUAACAAUAAUGAAACUUUAAAAGUAUAGUUUUUCCAUUUGCAUAAAUAACCACCAAAUGAUUUUGCCUGAAAAAUUAGAUUUACAUCUAUACUCUGACUGCUUUGCUUGUUUAUAAGCCUCUGAAGUUAACCAGAAGAAAUGACUACCUUAGAAUACUCUGAAGGCUAUCAAACUUGUUGGGCAAAAGACUGAAACUAUUUCUAAGGUUUGGACCAAAGUAUUUCAACAAAUCUCUGCAUUUCUAGAAAAAAAAUCUCCCCAAAAGGGCUAAUGCUAAAGGCAAAGUCUCAUGGGGCCCAAAUGUUCCUUAGGCUACUUACAGACCAAGCAUGUGAAAUUUUAUGGUUUGUUAUUCAUUCCUAUAUGAAAAAGAAAUUCAGAUAAAGAAUUAGUCACCUGGAUUAAAUUAAGAAAGCUACAGCCUUGUA